UCUUGGAAUAUAGAAGACUCAAAAGCCUCCAGCGCGAUGCCAUGCCACGACACCGCAAGAUUGGAAAGUUCAGCCGCCAAACGGUAAGGUAAAGCCACACUCUCCGAGUGAACAGCGUCGAAUGACGAUCUCUUAUUCUCAGCUUUGAACAACGGCCACGCUAAUUCUGGCUUCCAUUGAUUCGGCGCAGCGUCGAUGUAAUGAACAGUCAUCUGCGACGAGGUUUUAUCGGCAGUUGUCGUCUUAACAGGAGGAGCAGACGUGAAGACAUGAACGUCGUGACCACGAGCCGCGAGGAAAGAAUGAAGAGUAAGCGCAUGUCGCUCCAUUCCCCCGGG
This 338-nucleotide long non-coding RNA is filed under the name Zostera marina. RNAcentral's name for it is "long non-coding RNA (ZMAR_LNC002102)". The record is from RNAcentral. Lineage: Eukaryota; Viridiplantae; Streptophyta; Magnoliopsida; Alismatales; Zosteraceae.